GAUGAACGCUAGCGGGAGGCUUAACACAUGCAAGUCGAGGGGUAAGGAGAUAGCAAUAUUUCCCUAGACCGGCGCACGGGUGAGUAACGCGUAUGCAACCUGCCCUUUACAGGGGGAUAGCCCGGAGAAAUCCGGAUUAAUACCCCAUAGUAUUAUGAGUUCGCAUGGACUUAUAAUUAAAGCUGAGGCGGUAAAGGAUGGGCAUGCGUGACAUUAGCUAGUUGGCGGGGUAACGGCCCACCAAGGCCACGAUGUCUAGGGGUUCUGAGAGGAAGGUCCCCCACACUGGUACUGAGACACGGACCAGACUCCUACGGGAGGCAGCAGUGAGGAAUAUUGGUCAAUGGGCUAAAGCCUGAACCAGCCAUCCCGCGUGCAGGAAGAAGGCCCUAUGGGUUGUAAACUGCUUUUGUGCAGGAAUAAAUGUACCCUCGUGAGGGUAUUUGAAGGUAUUGCCAGAAUAAGCACCGGCUAACUCCGUGCCAGCAGCCGCGGUAAUACGGAGGGUGCAAGCGUUAUCCGGAUUUAUUGGGUUUAAAGGGUGCGUAGGCGGUAUUUUAAGUCAGUGGUGAAAACCUGCAGCUUAACUGUAGAAUUGCCAUUGAAACUGAAGUACUUGAGUUAUCUUGAGGUAGGCGGAAUGUGUAGUGUAGCGGUGAAAUGCUUAGAUAUUACAC
Molecule: ribosomal RNA, 677 nt
Filed under: uncultured Eubacteriales bacterium
Lineage: Bacteria; Bacillati; Bacillota; Clostridia; Eubacteriales
Description: bacterial SSU rRNA
Rfam family: Bacterial small subunit ribosomal RNA
Source: RNAcentral